GUACUCAUGGCGAGAUUGGUAGCCGGACUGAGAGGGUGAUCGGCCACACUGGAACUGAGACACGGUCCAGACUCCUACGGGAGGCAGCAGUGGGGAAUAUUGCACAAUGGGCGAAAGCCUGAUGCAGCAACGCCGCGUGAGUGAUGAAGGCUUUCGGGUCGUAAAACUCUGUCCUAGAGGAAGAAUGAUGACGGUACUCUAGGAGGAAGCCCCGGCUAACUACGUGCCAGCAGCCGCGGUAAUACGUAGGGGGCAAGCGUUAUCCGGAUUUAUUGGGCGUAAAGGGUGCGUAGGCGGUUAUGCAAGUUGAUGGUGAAAGGCUACGGCUCAACCGUAGUAAGCCGUCAAAACUGCAUGACUUGAGUACAGGAGAGGAGAGUGGAAUUCCUAGUGUAGCGGUGAAAUGCGUAGAUAUUAGGAGGAACACCAGUGGCGAAGGCGACUCUCUGGACUGUUACUGACGCUGAGGCACGAAAGCGUGGGGAGCGAACAGGAUUAGAUACCCUGGUAGUCCACGCCGUAAACGAUGGACACUAGAUUGCCCGGAG
This 548-nucleotide ribosomal RNA is filed under the name uncultured low G+C Gram-positive bacterium. Its description in RNAcentral is "bacterial SSU rRNA". It matches the Rfam family "Bacterial small subunit ribosomal RNA", at positions 265 to 830 of the family's 1533-position model. Lineage: Bacteria; Bacillati; Bacillota. The record is from RNAcentral.